This 200-nucleotide ribosomal RNA is filed under the name uncultured bacterium. RNAcentral's name for it is "partial 16S ribosomal RNA". It matches the Rfam family "Bacterial small subunit ribosomal RNA", at positions 8 to 208 of the family's 1533-position model. The record is from RNAcentral.
AGAGUUUGAUCCUGGCUCAGGACGAACGCUGGCGGCGUGCUUAACACAUGCAAGUCGAACGGAGAUUAUAGCAAUGUAAUCUUAGUGGCGGACGGGUGAGUAACGCGUGGGCAACUUGCCUUGGACAGGGGGAUAACACAGGGAAACUUGUGCUAAUACCGCAUAACAUCACGAGAGGACAUCUUCUUGUGAUCAAAGGA